Molecule: ribosomal RNA, 377 nt
Filed under: uncultured eukaryote
Lineage: Eukaryota
Description: partial 18S ribosomal RNA
Rfam family: Eukaryotic small subunit ribosomal RNA
Source: RNAcentral
CAAUAGCGUAUAUUUAAGUUGCUGCAGUUAAAAAGCUCGUAGUUGGAUUUCGGGUGGGAAUGGCCGGUCCGCCGUUUCGGUGUGCACUUGCUACGCCCACCUUGCUGCCGGGGACGUGCUCUUGAGUUCACGCUCGGGACACGGAGUCGGCGAGGUUACUUUGAGUAAAUUAGAGUGUUCAAAGCAGGCCUACGCUCUGAAUACAUUAGCAUGGAAUAACACGAUAGGACUCUGGCCUAUCUUGUUGGUCUGUAGGACCGGAGUAAUGAUUAAGAGGGACAGUCGGGGGCAUUCGUAUUUCAUUGUCAGAGGUGAAAUUCUUGGAUUUAUGAAAGACGAACUUCUGCGAAAGCAUUCGCCAAGGAUGUUUUCAUUAA